Bufo bufo (common toad) is the source of this 602-nucleotide long non-coding RNA. RefSeq lists it as uncharacterized. The transcript has 4 exons. NCBI's taxonomy places the organism in Eukaryota, Metazoa, Chordata, Amphibia, Anura, Bufonidae. The record is from RefSeq and is a predicted model, not a curated record.
AACAGCCCACUUAUAUUUGAUUUAGAUUACAUAUCAAAACGCUGACGUUACUGUGUGAAAGUUCUGUGAAAGUCUAAAUCAGUAUAAAUACCCCAGGAUAAAUCUCAGACAGUGAAGUGCACAGAACUGGUUCCCAGCUACAGCACAAGAUGAAAAACCUUUUUGUGAUUCUGCUCGGUGUUGGGGUUUUCCUGACUGUUUGCGAUGCAGCUUGUUUUCAUCAAAAACCUCUAUUUCGCCGAACACCCUUAAAUGGAUGUUUAGAUCAAGAUAAGGAGGUUCAUGCUUUGUCUAGUGAAUGGGUGACAAAGGAUUGUAUGAGAUGCAAUUGUCAUUCUGAUGGAUCCAUGGGCUGUUGUAAUAUGCUUGAUCUGCCGAAUGCCAUUAAGGGGGAUGAGUGUGAAGUUUUAAAUGACAGAGACACCUGCACCUCCAAAAUCGUUUACAAGAAUGAUCAUACCAAAGAAUGCAUGUAAAGCCCACUCAGUUUCAUUAUCAUUCCCUUUCUAGAAAGAAAAAGUUGUAGAAGAAAAAUCUAUGGAAAUGUCUACACCAAACUAUAUCUUUCAAUAAAAAGCUAAUAAAACUAAUUAUUGCGAUAA